Molecule: long non-coding RNA, 523 nt
Filed under: Hordeum vulgare
Lineage: Eukaryota; Viridiplantae; Streptophyta; Magnoliopsida; Poales; Poaceae
Description: long non-coding RNA (HVUL_LNC014210)
Source: RNAcentral
AACCAAGGAAGUCUCUUGAUUCACCUCUGAUGAUGGCUAAAAAAGUUCAACCACUGAAAUCUCAAGAUCCACUUGUCCAAACGGCUGCAUCCAUUCAGCGAUCAAAACCUCUAGACUCCAGUAGCGCUUCAUGUGGCUCUAGAACUGUGGCGUCUCUAGAUUCACCAGCUCAACCAUGGAAGUCUUGCGAUUCACUGCUGAUGAUGGCUGAACAAGUUCAACCACCGAAAUCUCAAGAUUCACUGGUCCAAACGUUUGCAUCCAUUCAAAUAUCAAAACCUCUAGACUCCAGUAGCGCUUCAUGUGGCUCUGUAACUGUGGGGUCUCUAGAUUUACCAGUUCAACCAUGUAAAUAUCUCGAUUCACCGCUGAUGAUGGCUGAACAAGUUCAACCAAAGAAAUCUCAAGAUUCACUGGUCGAAAUGAUUGCAUCGAUUCAAAUAUCAAGACCUCCAGACUCCAGUAGCGCUUCAUGUGGCUCUGGAACUGUGGGGUCUUAUUUAGGAGCUGGUCUAUUUGACAU